Molecule: ribosomal RNA, 468 nt
Filed under: Listeria monocytogenes
Lineage: Bacteria; Bacillati; Bacillota; Bacilli; Caryophanales; Listeriaceae
Description: partial 23S ribosomal RNA
Rfam family: Bacterial large subunit ribosomal RNA
Source: RNAcentral
CUGAGUACGGCGGAACACGUGAAAUUCCGUCGGAAUCCGGGAGGACCAUCUCCCAAGGCUAAAUACUCCCUAGUGACCGAUAGUGAACCAGUACCGUGAGGGAAAGGUGAAAAGCACCCCGGAAGGGGAGUGAAACAGUUCCUGAAACCGUGUGCCUACAAGUAGUUAGAGCCCGUUAAUGGGUGAUAGCGUGCCUUUUGUAGAAUGAACCGGCGAGUUACGAUUUGUUGCAAGGUUAAGCGGAAAAAGCGGAGCCGUAGCGAAAGCGAGUCUGAAUAGGGCGCAUAAGUAACAGGUCGUAGACCCGAAACCAGGUGAUCUACCCAUGUCCAGGAUGAAGGUAAGGUAAUACUUACUGGAGGUCCGAACCCACGCACGUUGAAAAGUGCGGGGAUGAGGUGUGGGUAGCGGAGAAAUUCCAAUCGAACUUGGAGAUAGCUGGUUCUCUCCGAAAUAGCUUUAGGGCUA